AACGAACGCUGGCGGCAUGCCUAACACAUGCAAGUCGAACGAGACCUUCGGGUCUAGUGGCGCACGGGUGCGUAACGCGUGGGAACCUGCCCUUAGGUUCGGAAUAACUCCCCGAAAGGGGUGCUAAUACCGGAUAAUGUCUUCGGACCAAAGAUUUAUCGCCUUUGGAUGGGCCCGCGUUGGAUUAGCUAGUUGGUAGGGUAAAAGCCUACCAAGGCGACGAUCCAUAGCUGGUCUGAGAGGAUGAUCAGCCACACUGGGACUGAGACACGGCCCAGACUCCUACGGGAGGCAGCAGUGGGGAAUAUUGGACAAUGGGCGAAAGCCUGAUCCAGCAAUGCCGGGUGAGUGAUGAAAGCCUUAGGGUUGUAAAGCUCUUUUACCCGGGAUGAUAAUGACAGUACCGGGAGAAUAAGCUCCGGCUAACUCCGUG
RNAcentral lists this ribosomal RNA (433 nucleotides) under uncultured bacterium. Its description in RNAcentral is "partial 16S ribosomal RNA". It matches the Rfam family "Bacterial small subunit ribosomal RNA", at positions 29 to 507 of the family's 1533-position model. The record is from RNAcentral.